UACGUAGGUGGCAAGCGUUGUCCGGAAUUACUGGGCGUAAAGGGUGCGCAGGCGGACAUUUAAGUGAGAUGUGAAAUACCCGGGCUUAACCCGGGCAGUGCAUUUCAAACUGGGUGUCUGGAGUGCAGGAGAGGAGAACGGAAUUCCUAGUGUAGCGGUGAAAUGCGUAGAGAUUAGGAAGAACACCAGUGGCGAAGGCGGUUCUCUGGACUGUAACUGACGCUGAGGCACGAAAGCGUGGGUAG
Molecule: ribosomal RNA, 245 nt
Filed under: uncultured Clostridium sp.
Lineage: Bacteria; Bacillati; Bacillota; Clostridia; Eubacteriales; Clostridiaceae
Description: partial 16S ribosomal RNA
Rfam family: Bacterial small subunit ribosomal RNA
Source: RNAcentral